CUUUUUACGCUAGCGCGAGGGGUGAUUCAAAUAUGACGUUUCUUGCCGACAACCGAAUUUCAGUUCAAUGCCAUCCUAGUAGACUAUUUGGGAGUUUGUUGAUUGGAAUGUCAAAAAUUUUCACUGUUUGGAUCUGUUUUGCACCAACAGCGAUUCUCAGGGUCAACUAUGGAGGAAUUUGAUUGGAUAUAUUUGUAUGUGAAAAUAUGUUAAUAAUUGACGAUUUCGACGAAUAACCUAGCAUACCCUCUGUAUUCUCCAUUUAGCAGUGUCCAGUAAUGUUUUUCCUCAAUAAUAUCAAAUGGAGCAGAAGUUCGUUUUGGCAAAAAAUGAUGCGUAUAGGGACCUUGUUAGGGAUAGUCGGAUACGGCAGUCAUUGGUCCAUAUUCGCAUUUCAACAUUUUACUGUUGGUCAAGCAUCCCAGGGUCAAGCUAAUUAUACCAAUAAUUCGUCUAAUAAAUAAUUCGUCUGGUAAUAUAACGAGUUUAUUCUUUAGAUUCCCAUAAUAAGAGCAUAUUAUAAAGUUCUAUUAUGGUAAUAAUGUGCUGCCAAAAGUUGAAUCAUUUGCUUAGAAAACCACCUUCAAAACGCAAAUCAGAGUGCGUGAGAAUUGGCAGAGCUUUGUAGUUAAAUUCAGAUGAUUUCAGCUCUCAGACUUUCAAUUGAUUUCCGAUAAAAAUGCUCGUAGUUGACCUAAAAAGAACCAAAAAACAAUUUAAUUGCUUCAGUAGAAUAAAUAUACCUAUAUUAUCAUUUCAAA
Aedes albopictus (Asian tiger mosquito) is the source of this 761-nucleotide long non-coding RNA. RefSeq lists it as uncharacterized. The transcript has 2 exons. NCBI's taxonomy places the organism in Eukaryota, Metazoa, Arthropoda, Insecta, Diptera, Culicidae. The record is from RefSeq and is a predicted model, not a curated record.